This 88-nucleotide transfer RNA is filed under the name Candidatus Woesebacteria bacterium RBG_13_36_22. Its description in RNAcentral is "tRNA-Leu". It matches the Rfam family "tRNA". From Rfam's summary of the family: Transfer RNA (tRNA) molecules are approximately 80 nucleotides in length. The record is from RNAcentral. Lineage: Bacteria; Candidatus Woeseibacteriota.
GCCGGGGUGGCGGAAUGGUAUACGCGCAAGACUUAAAAUCUUGUGUCACAUUUGUGAUGUGCGGGUUCGAGUCCCGCCCUCGGCACCG